Molecule: ribosomal RNA, 459 nt
Filed under: uncultured bacterium
Lineage: Bacteria
Description: partial 16S ribosomal RNA
Rfam family: Bacterial small subunit ribosomal RNA
Source: RNAcentral
CCUACGGGGUGCAGCAGUGAGGAAUAUUGGUCAAUGGGCGCGAGCCUGAACCAGCCAAGUCGCGUGAGGGAAGACGGUCCUAUGGAUUGUAAACCUCUUUUGUCGGGGAGCAAAACACGCUACGCGUAGCGCUUCGAGUGUACCCGAAGAAAAAGCAUCGGCUAACUCCGUGCCAGCAGCCGCGGUAAUACGGAGGAUGCGAGCGUUAUCCGGAUUUAUUGGGUUUAAAGGGUGCGCAGGCGGAAGAUCAAGCCAGCGGUAAAAUUGAGGGGCUCAACCCCGUCGAGCCGUUGAAACUGGUUUGCUUGAGUGGGUGAGAAGUAUGCGGAAUGCGUGGGGUAGCGGUGAAAUGCAUAGAUAUCACGCAGAACUCCGAUUGCGAAGGCAGCAUACUGGCGCUCAACUGACGCUCAUGCACGAAAGUGUGGGUAUCGAACAGGAUUAGAUACCCUGGUAGUC